This 327-nucleotide long non-coding RNA is filed under the name Brassica napus (rape). RNAcentral describes it as "long non-coding RNA (BNAP_LNC008289)". The record is from RNAcentral. Lineage: Eukaryota; Viridiplantae; Streptophyta; Magnoliopsida; Brassicales; Brassicaceae.
CAUUACUUCUAAAGGUAGUGGCUUUUAUUUAAGCUGCAUUAUCAUCUACUUCGACUUUUUCCAUCUGACUCUUCUAUGUUUUCGCUGGUGCAGGUGGUAGCCAUCAGAAAGUUGAGACACCUGCAAAGUUUUACAGAAGGGUAAUUGUUAUUUUAUUUACUUAAAGUUCAAAAUCUGGAUGCAACAUAUACAUUUCUGGGGGAAUAUCCUGCCUGAGUAUUUUGUUAUCUUAAAAAAUUUAGCAACUAAGGGAGAAAAGGCGUGAGAUGCGAGCAAAUGAGCUGGUCAAGCGCAACGAUGACACGAUUCUAAAGCUGGAAAAUGCGG